This 172-nucleotide ribosomal RNA is filed under the name uncultured bacterium. RNAcentral describes it as "partial 16S ribosomal RNA". It matches the Rfam family "Bacterial small subunit ribosomal RNA", at positions 335 to 524 of the family's 1533-position model. The record is from RNAcentral.
ACUCCUACGGGAGGCAGCAGUGGGGAAUAUUGGACAAUGGGCGCAAGCCUGAUCCAGCCAUGCCGCGUGAGUGAAGAAGGUCUUCGGAUUGUAAAGCUCUUUUGCCAGGGACGAUAAUGACGGUACCUGGAGAAUAAGCCCCGGCAAACUUCGUGCCAGCAGCCGCGGUAAU